GGUCUUCCAGGAAAGAUAUUUUCCUUUCUAAUUGUGGUGAAGACUGCCAGUCACCUUGAGAAAGGAAGCUGUGACUAGUAGAAUGACAAGAGAGAUGGAGGCUUGUUUUCUGAAGGGAUCACAGAAGGGGGAUUCUUCAGAAGUCCAUGGUGAUUUCAAUUCUUAAGUUUUUCUGGGGACUGCAGCACAAGCCACCUUGACUCCUAGUUUAGGUUUCAGUUUUCUCUGGUCUGACAAGUAAUUUACCACAGCCCAUCUACUCUCCAGUUUUCACAAUUUGAAUAUUAUCAUAAUUUUAAUGGUAUUUGAGAGGAAGUGGAGAAAAAUGCACAUGUUCAAUCUGUGAAGUUUAACCAGAAGCCCUAUCAGUUGUAUUUUACCAGCAUUAAUACCAUCAAUUCUUACUACUCAUAUGUGGGUCUCUUGAGCUGUUUGGAAGCUAGGGAUUAGGAGUAAAGGAUGUACAUACAUGUGUGCAUGCUUCUAUCUCUUUGUGUAUAUGUGAGGUUAUAGUAUGAGAUUGUAUGUGUGUGUGUGUAGUGGUUAAAAUGAAAACAAGUGUGUUUGCUGGGGAACUAUUAAUAGGACUAGAAUGAUGAGCUUCAGGAGUUAGAAGGUGAGAAGAAGAGCAGAAAAGAGAAAGGAAGCAAACCUGCAAGUUUUGGAGUGAUGGGUUUCAGGACAUGUUACCCCAAAAUAUGGCACCUUGGCAGUUGAGGAAACAGCAGAAGAAAGAAGAUCUCUUUGACUUUCUCCUGCUCUUCUCUCCUGAAGCAGGCCCUAAAAGAAUUCUCUGAUCUUCCUCUAAAGCAGUUCUUAAGACCCUCAUGUGAGAAGUGCCUACCCCAUACUCAGAGGAAAGGAAUAUGCUUAACUUUGGAACCACAGGAACACAGAGAAGAAUCUGAACAAACUGGCUUGUCUAAUCAAAUAUCUCUACAACUAUCCACUUCUUCAUCAAACUUGGCAUAAAAAUACACAGAUUUCCC
RNAcentral lists this long non-coding RNA (989 nucleotides) under Homo sapiens (human). RNAcentral's name for it is "HSALNT0031431". Lineage: Eukaryota; Metazoa; Chordata; Mammalia; Primates; Hominidae. The record is from RNAcentral.